This 996-nucleotide ribosomal RNA is filed under the name uncultured organism. Its description in RNAcentral is "bacterial SSU rRNA". It matches the Rfam family "Bacterial small subunit ribosomal RNA", at positions 356 to 1376 of the family's 1533-position model. The record is from RNAcentral.
GGGGGAUAUUGCACAAUGGGGGAAACCCUGAUGCAGCGACGCCGCGUGGAGGAAGAAGGUUUUCGGAUUGUAAACUCCUGUCGUUAGGGACGAUAAUGACGGUACCUAACAAGAAAGCACCGGCUAACUACGUGCCAGCAGCCGCGGUAAAACGUAGGGUGCAAGCGUUGUCCGGAAUUACUGGGUGUAAAGGGAGCGCAGGCGGACCGGCAAGUUGGAAGUGAAAACUAUGGGCUCAACCCAUAAAUUGCUUUCAAAACUGCUGGCCUUGAGUAGUGCAGAGGUAGGUGGAAUUCCCGGUGUAGCGGUGGAAUGCGUAGAUAUCGGGAGGAACACCAGUGGCGAAGGCGACCUACUGGGCACCAACUGACGCUGAGGCUCGAAAGCAUGGGUAGCAAACAGGAUUAGAUACCCUGGUAGUCCAUGCCGUAAACGAUGAUUACUAGGUGUUGGAGGAUUGACCCCUUCAGUGCCGCAGUUAACACAAUAAGUAAUCCACCUGGGGAGUACGACCGCAAGGUUGAAACUCAAAGGAAUUGACGGGGGCCCGCACAAGCAGUGGAGUAUGUGGUUUAAUUCGAAGCAACGCGAAGAACCUUACCAGGUCUUGACAUCCGAUGCAUAGCUUAGAGAUAAGUGAAGUCCUUCGGGACAUCGAGACAGGUGGUGCAUGGUUGUCGUCAGCUCGUGUCGUGAGAUGUUGGGUUAAGUCCCGCAACGAGCGCAACCCUUAUUGCCAGUUACUACGAAAGAGGACUCUGGCGAGACUGCCGUUGACAAAACGGAGGAAGGUGGGGAUGACGUCAAAUCAUCAUGCCCUUUAUGACCUGGGCUACACACGUACUACAAUGGCGUUUAACAAAGAGAAGCAAGACCGCGAGGUGGAGCAAAACUCAAAAACAACGUCUCAGUUCAGAUUGCAGGCUGCAACUCGCCUGCAUGAAGUCGGAAUUGCUAGUAAUCGCGGAUCAGCAUGCCGCGGCGAAUACGUUCCCG